Molecule: ribosomal RNA, 642 nt
Filed under: Fusarium equiseti
Lineage: Eukaryota; Fungi; Ascomycota; Sordariomycetes; Hypocreales; Nectriaceae
Description: LSU rRNA
Rfam family: Eukaryotic large subunit ribosomal RNA
Source: RNAcentral
ACUAAGCAUAUCAAUAAGCGGAGGAAAAGAAACCAACAGGGAUUGCCCUAGUAACGGCGAGUGAAGCGGCAACAGCUCAAAUUUGAAAUCUGGCUCUCGGGCCCGAGUUGUAAUUUGUAGAGGAUGCUUUUGAUGCGGUGCCUUCCGAGUUCCCUGGAACGGGACGCCAUAGAGGGUGAGAGCCCCGUCUGGUUGGAUGCCAAAUCUCUGUAAAGCUCCUUCGACGAGUCGAGUAGUUUGGGAAUGCUGCUCUAAAUGGGAGGUAUAUGUCUUCUAAAGCUAAAUACCGGCCAGAGACCGAUAGCGCACAAGUAGAGUGAUCGAAAGAUGAAAAGCACUUUGAAAAGAGAGUUAAAAAGUACGUGAAAUUGUUGAAAGGGAAGCGUUUAUGACCAGACUUGGGCUUGGUUAAUCAUCUGGGGUUCUCCCCAGUGCACUUUUCCAGUCCAGGCCAGCAUCAGUUUUCGCCGGGGGAUAAAGGCUUCGGGAAUGUGGCUCUCUCCGGGGAGUGUUAUAGCCCGUUGCGUAAUACCCUGGCGGGGACUGAGGUUCGCGCAUCUGCAAGGAUGCUGGCGUAAUGGUCAUCAACGACCCGUCUUGAAACACGGACCAAGGAGUCGUCUUCGUAUGCGAUGUUGGGUG